GUUUGUCGUACCUUCAGUUUGUGCCGCAGAAUCUGUGUUUCAUUGGCACUUUUGUGUGUGUUUGAUUUAGUAUCUUUACCCAGGUGCUUGCUAGAGGAGAAGAUUAAUGGUCCGACACGGCUUCAUGAUGUAUGAGCUGGAGGAGAGGGCAUUGGAUGAACCAAUCAGUUCGAAGUUGUAGAGUUUGGAGGUGGAUGUUACUAAAGGGAGGAAGUUGAUCACAAGUUUUCUUUCAGCAAUUGGUGAGUUACAGGGAUAUCAUGUGCAUAUGUAUGAGUCUGCUUUGCUUCGGUUGAAGAUAUAUGUGUGCCUGAAGAUACAAUCUUACAUGCAUUUUCUGUAUGAUAUGAUCACUAUUUCAUUCUCUGCGUGUACGUAGGUUGCAAGAAUGAGAAGGCUCCUCCAUGCUUAACAGGAAGAGACAGGGUCGCAGCCGCACCGCACGACGGCAGGCCAUGGCGAGCCGCACCACACCAGGUGGGCUAGAGCGAGCUCCAGCGCGAGCGAGCGCACCCGUCGCCCAUGCUGGCGGUGUCCCGGCCACGAGCAACAGGAACAUAGGGUCCCUGACCACGGCUGGAUCUCCUCCUUCUCCGUCCACAUGCGUGCAUCAGGAACUAGCAGCCGCACGGGUCUGAGCUCGGCCUCUCAAUUUUGUUUCACUUUUCAAGGAUGAGUAUCUUUACUUUGAAAAUGAACUGGUCAUAUUUCUAUUGGAAAUGAAGUGAUGUUGCUUCCCAGGUUCUGCGAUCUCUUGUGUUGCUGCAUCCUGAUCUUCUGCUUUGUUGCAUCUCUGUUCUGCCAUCGAGAGGACGUGUCUGUACUUGCUGGGGUAGAAUUCAAAUUGUGAGGGAUGGUUGUGCUUAGAUUUGGUCGCUGCUGGUCGGUUCUUGAGUUCAGCGCAUGAAAACCUGCAACUACUAUCAAACGAACCACAGG
Long non-coding RNA from Triticum dicoccoides, 939 nucleotides. RefSeq lists it as uncharacterized. The record is from RefSeq and is a predicted model, not a curated record. Lineage: Eukaryota; Viridiplantae; Streptophyta; Magnoliopsida; Poales; Poaceae. The transcript is spliced from 6 exons.